UACGUAGGCAGCAAGCGUUGUUCGGAGUUACUGGGCGUAAAGGGUGCGUAGGCGGUUGCUUAAGUUUGGUGUGAAAUCUCCCGGCUCAACUGGGAGGGUGCGCCGAAUACUGAGUGGACUAGAGUGCGGGAGAGGAAAGUGGAAUUCCUGGUGUAGCGGUGAAAUGCGUAGAUAUCAGGAGGACACCGGUGGUGUAGACGGCUUUCUGGACCGUAACUGACGCUGGAGGAACGGAAGACAUGGGGAGCGAACAGG
This 255-nucleotide ribosomal RNA is filed under the name uncultured bacterium. RNAcentral's name for it is "partial 16S ribosomal RNA". It matches the Rfam family "Bacterial small subunit ribosomal RNA", at positions 524 to 776 of the family's 1533-position model. The record is from RNAcentral.